GGCACACACUCCCUGUUGCAUCCUUAGGGCGGGCUCUGGCGACACUUGCGUUGUCUCCAUGAAGGAAACUUGCGGUCUGUCAGGACACGUGUGCACCGUCGUUUUGGCUGCCUCCCCCUUCAGCACAGUCACUCUGGGGAGAUGUUUCCCAGGAAAGCCACGAGAGCCCGUUUCGAAGAUGGGCUGUAAGAGAUAAGGUGUAAGAGGAAAACCUGAGAGAUGGAAGAGAGAACUGUCCAAUUGGAAAGACAAGGCAUUUCACAGGAGAGAGGAAAGAAGAAGAAAUUCCAAAGGUAGUCUCAAGAGCCAGGGGGGGAGGAUCCUGUAUUUCUGCAGCUCGGUGUUCCUAGGAAGGACUCUGAUGAUGAAAAAAUGCUUGAUACUGAGCACCUCUUACAAGUUCCUGUGUGCCCACCAAACCUGCUGAGGACUACUGAAUGCUUCAAAAGAAAGACAGGACACUCCAAGCCUUGGGCAAAAUCUUUGCUGCAAAUUUAAUGGAUGGCUGUUAUUGCAACUACAUUGUGUCUCCAAUCUCAGCUGCUAGAGUAGGGGUGCAGACACCAGAGCCAAGAAAAAACAGACAAGGAGUGGAGUUUCCAGUUCAGGAGGUGAGACCAUUAAGAAGAGACUUUGCCAAGCCCAGUCAUAAUCUACAUCUCCUUUAAACUACACAGUAGAGAAGAGCCAGGCUGUCUACUGAACUCUGAUUUUGGGGGCUUCUAGUUAAAAUGGUCGUUUGCCUGGGGCUAGGGUCAUAAGAGUCAGAAUGGGAGGCAAAUUAGGCUUAAAAUCAUGUUUUCACCAGUGUUUAAUAAAAAAUGUGAAUGUUCUCUCAGAGGAUGUUUGUAACUCAUCAGUUAGCCUAGCUUGAAACUAUGAAUGAUAAAUAAUUUAGUAGAUAUGCUACAACAAGGAUUAUAAACAUGCAAAGUGAUAUAAACAGUGCCUGAUAUAGGGAAACACUCAGAUAAGCACUGCCUUUGAUUUUGGAAGCUGAGAUUUUUUUAAAUCCUCAUGCUUCUACAAAGGCAUAAACCCCUGCUAUGUUCAAUGUCUGCCAGUACCAUACUGUGGUUUCUUAAAUAAAGAAAUAACAACAAAGAUGAAGGACUGCUGAAGCUUUGCUCAGUAAAAACCAAUUAUAAACCAAGAAAACACAAAGAAAUUAAUCUAUAAGCUUUUUUUUUUCUUCUGAUCUAAGACUGCUGUAACU
This is a long non-coding RNA of Zonotrichia leucophrys gambelii, 1216 nucleotides long. RefSeq lists it as uncharacterized. The record is from RefSeq and is a predicted model, not a curated record. NCBI's taxonomy places the organism in Eukaryota, Metazoa, Chordata, Aves, Passeriformes, Passerellidae. The transcript has 5 exons.